UUUUAUGGAGAGUUUGAUCCUGGCUCAGGAUGAACGCUGGCGGCGUGCCUAAUACAUGCAAGUCGAGCGAACGGACGAGAAGCUUGCUUCUCUGAUGUUAGCGGCGGACGGGUGAGUAACACGUGGAUAACCUACCUAUAAGACUGGGAUAACUUCGGGAAACCGGAGCUAAUACCGGAUAAUAUUUUGAACCGCAUGGUUCAAAAGUGAAAGACGGUCUUGCUGUCACUUAUAGAUGGAUCCGCGCUGCAUUAGCUAGUUGGUAAGGUAACGGCUUACCAAGGCAACGAUGCAUAGCCGACCUGAGAGGGUGAUCGGCCACACUGGAACUGAGACACGGUCCAGACUCCUACGGGAGGCAGCAGUAGGGAAUCUUCCGCAAUGGGCGAAAGCCUGACGGAGCAACGCCGCGUGAGUGAUGAAGGUCUUCGGAUCGUAAAACUCUGUUAUUAGGGAAGAACAUAUGUGUAAGUAACUGUGCACAUCUUGACGGUACCUAAUCAGAAAGCCACGGCUAACUACGUGCCAGCAGCCGCGGUAAUACGUAGGUGGCAAGCGUUAUCCGGAAUUAUUGGGCGUAAAGCGCGCGUAGGCGGUUUUUUAAGUCUGAUGUGAAAGCCCACGGCUCAACCGUGGAGGGUCAUUGGAAACUGGAAAACUUGAGUGCAGAAGAGGAAAGUGGAAU
Molecule: ribosomal RNA, 685 nt
Filed under: Staphylococcus aureus
Lineage: Bacteria; Bacillati; Bacillota; Bacilli; Caryophanales; Staphylococcaceae
Description: bacterial SSU rRNA
Rfam family: Bacterial small subunit ribosomal RNA
Source: RNAcentral